UACAGAGGGUGCAAGCGUUAAUCGGAAUUACUGGGCGUAAAGCGUGCGCAGGCGGUUAUGCAAGACAGAUGUGAAAUCCCCGGGCUCAACCUGGGAAUGGCAGUGGAUACUGGGAGGCUAGAGUGUGUCAGAGGAUGGUGGAAUUCCCGGUGUAGCGGUGAAAUGCGUAGAUAUCUGGAGGAACACCGGUGGCGAAGGCGGCAUCCUGGACCGACACUGACGCUGAGGAGCGAAAGCCAGGGGAGCAAACGGG
This 253-nucleotide ribosomal RNA is filed under the name uncultured bacterium. RNAcentral describes it as "partial 16S ribosomal RNA". It matches the Rfam family "Bacterial small subunit ribosomal RNA", at positions 524 to 776 of the family's 1533-position model. The record is from RNAcentral.